Non-coding RNA from Pelobates cultripes (western spadefoot toad), 262 nucleotides. The record is from the annotation of a GenBank genome assembly. NCBI's taxonomy places the organism in Eukaryota, Metazoa, Chordata, Amphibia, Anura, Pelobatidae.
GGAGCUCCUUGUACUCCGACUGAGUACCUUCCGUUGACGGAUGCUCCUAGCGCUUCCUGAGGACUCCAAGCAGUGCAGCAGACACCACAACCACCACAGACUCCACAACCGCUUGACUGGAGUCUCGCCGUCUUCCUUCCACCCUGGAUCGGCUUCUGUCCUCCAGGACUGUGUGGAAAAGUACUCUUCCUUCCACCCUGUAUGAACCUCCAGCAUCCAGGACUGUGUGGUGAAGAUCCUUCCUCCAAGGAGAGUGUGUCAG